GAUGAACGCUGGCGGCGUGCCUAAUACAUGCAAGUCGAGCGAACGGACGAGAAGCUUGCUUCUCUGAUGUUAGCGGCGGACGGGUGAGUAACACGUGGAUAACCUACCUAUAAGACUGGGAUAACUUCGGGAAACCGUAGCUAAUACCGGAUAAUAUUUUGAACCGCAUGGUUCAAAAGUGAAAGACGGUCUUGCUGUCACUUAUAGAUGGAUCCGCGCUGCAUUAUCUAGUUGGUAAGGUAACGGCUUACCAAGGCAACGAUGCAUAGCCGACCUGAGAGGGUGAUCGGCCACACUGGAACUGAGACACGGUCCAGACUCCUACGGGAGGCAGCAGUAGGGAAUCUUCCGCAAUGGGCGAAAGCCUGACGGAGCAACGCCGCGUGAGUGAUGAAGGUCUUCGGAUCGUAAAACUCUGUUAUUAGGGAAGAACAUAUGUGUAAGUAACUGUGCACAUCUUGACGGUGCCUAAUCAGAAAGCCACGGCUAACUACGUG
This 497-nucleotide ribosomal RNA is filed under the name uncultured bacterium. Its description in RNAcentral is "partial 16S ribosomal RNA". It matches the Rfam family "Bacterial small subunit ribosomal RNA", at positions 28 to 507 of the family's 1533-position model. The record is from RNAcentral.